UGGGCUGCAGGGUUCCGAAGCGGAAUAUGAGUUGCUGUUCCUGCAACCUUCGGGUGGCAUCAUUGUGGCACUGCAGGAGGCCCAUGAUGGACAUGUCAUCUAAAGAAUGGGUGGGGGAGUGGAAAUGGUUUGCGACUGGGAGGUGCAGUUGUUUAUUGUGAACCGAGCGGAGGUGUUCUGCAAAGCGGUCCCCAAGCCUCCGCUUGGUUUCCCCAAUGUAGAGGAAGCCACACCGGGUACAAUGGAUACAGUAUACCACAUUGGCAGAUGUGCAGCUCUGGACCCUCACACCACAGUCUGCUCCAGGAGUACUAAUUUGGGCCUAUCACAUUGCCACAACUGAAGGCCAACAUCUCCGUAGCCGACUGCAGAUGCCACCUUCUCCACCAACAUCACCACAGUGCCCAUUCCAUUACUGCUUCGCCGCCACAAACACUGAACUUAACCAGCAUCGAAGUCACCGAUCCUCAGGAGCCAUUCUUUGCCACUGGGCCUAGCUCACCAACAUCACCUCUGCUGAUGUAGCAGCAGCCGAAGCUGAAACCAGGUCCCUUGGUCACCCCUCUGCCAACUCGCCUGCUGCCAUCUUACUGGAAACUACUGCCAUGAGACCGCACUGGGCCCAAUAAGUAAGUUUUCCAGAGGGCUUUGGAAUGGUGGAUGAGGGGAGCAGCCAAAAAGACAAGGAUACUGAGGAUAACUCCCUAGCUGCUCUUUGAAAUAAUUCUAUGGGAUCUUUUACGUCCAACCAAGAAGGGUCCAGGCCUGAAACGUCAGUUUUUGAGCUCCUAAGAUGCUGCUUGGCCUGCUGUGUUCAUCCAGCUCCACUCUACACUUUGUUAUCUUUGCUUUGUUGUCUUAUCCAAAAGAUGGCACUUCCAACAAUGCAGUAUACUCUCAGAACCAAACUGAAAUGGUUGUCUGACAUGUGAUGAAGUUCUUUUUAUUUAUUUAUGGGAAAAAGCAUUAUUGGCUAGCAUUUAUUGCCCAACUCAGAGGACACUUAGGAGUCAACCACAUUUCUGUGGAUCUGGAGUCACGUGUAGUCCAGACCAGGUAAGGAUGGCAGCUUUCUUCCCUAAAGGACAUUAGUGAACCAGAUGUGUUUUUUUCCUGACAAUUGAUGGAUUCUUGGUCACUGUUAGACUUUAAUUCCAGUCUUUUUAAAAUUCUAAUUCAAAUUUCACCAUCUUCCAUGGUGAGAUUUAAACCCAGGUCCCCAGAACAUUCCAUGAGUCUCAGUGCAGGGAUAAUACCACUGGUUCCUCACCUCCCCUAAUCCUGGAGUGGGAUUUGAACCAGAACUUUAUGACUUAAAAGGUAAGAGUGCUACGAAUUGAACCAUGGCUGACACUAUAAAGCAAUUAUUAUUAUUAACUAUUCCAACUUCAACUGUUACGUAAAGUAAUGGGAGGCAUAAAUAAUAAAGUGUGAAGCU
This is a long non-coding RNA of Stegostoma tigrinum, 1438 nucleotides long. RefSeq lists it as uncharacterized. NCBI's taxonomy places the organism in Eukaryota, Metazoa, Chordata, Chondrichthyes, Orectolobiformes, Stegostomatidae. The record is from RefSeq and is a predicted model, not a curated record. The transcript has 3 exons.